RNAcentral lists this ribosomal RNA (492 nucleotides) under uncultured bacterium. Its description in RNAcentral is "partial 16S ribosomal RNA". It matches the Rfam family "Bacterial small subunit ribosomal RNA", at positions 29 to 507 of the family's 1533-position model. The record is from RNAcentral.
AGUGAACGCUGGCGGUAGGCCUAACACAUGCAAGUCGAACGGCAGCACAGUAAGAGCUUGCUCUUACGGGUGGCGAGUGGCGGACGGGUGAGGAAUACAUCGGCAUCUACUUUUUCGUGGGGGAUAACGUAGGGAAACUUACGCUAAUACCGCAUACGACCUACGGGUGAAAGCAGGGGAUCUUCGCACCUUGCGCGAUUGAAUUAGCCGAUGUCGGAUUAGCUAGUUGGCGGGGUAAAGGCCCACCAAGGCGACGAUCCGUAGCUGGUCUGAGAGGAUGAUCAGCCACACUGGAACUGAGACACGGUCCAGACUCCUACGGGAGGCAGCAGUGGGGAAUAUUGGACAAUGGGCGCAAGCCUGAUCCAGCCAUACCGCGUGAGUGAAGAAGGCCUUCGGGUUGUAAAGCCCUUUUGUUGGGAAAGAAAAGCAGCAGGUUAAUACCCCGCUGUUCUGACGGUACCCAAAGAAUAAGCACCGGCUAACUUCGUG